Megalobrama amblycephala (Wuchang bream) is the source of this 1592-nucleotide long non-coding RNA. RefSeq lists it as uncharacterized. Lineage: Eukaryota; Metazoa; Chordata; Actinopteri; Cypriniformes; Xenocyprididae. The transcript has 2 exons. The record is from RefSeq and is a predicted model, not a curated record.
CUGAUUUGAUGCUCAAGAAACGUUUUUUUAAUCAUUGUUAUCCAUGUUUAAAACAGUUUCACUGCUUAAUAUUUUUGUGGAUUGUUUUUCUUUUCUGGAUUCAAGAACAUUUAUUCACUGAAAUACACAGUUUCUUGAAAAGCACCGUUUUUGGUCAUCCAUUAGCUCGGUUGUUUAUUUCUGUUCACGAGGGCUCUAUGAGUCACGUACUGAACUGAUGCCCAGUGACACACAUUGCGUUAAAAGUUCACUGAUUCUAGACAAUUCUAUAUGAGUGGACAGAGCGAUUAAAGCGUCCCGGAUUCACAGGAUUUUUCUUGGCUACAUGUUUGCAGGCGAAUUUCCCUGGGGGUUUCUUCUUCCUGUUUCAUUAUGAUUUCCAUACUCCACAUUAAUGAUAUCAUACUCUCACUGUUGCCGACCCCUCUGCUGGAGCACAGAUAUGAUUACACUGAUGCAGUUUCUGGCAUUUUUCAUCGCAGACACGCAGCGAUUCCAAGCCGGUGCCACAGAGGUUCAUUGUGUCUCUGCCAGCCUCUCACAGAAGCCCCAUCCAACUUCUCACCUGCAGCAUUAUGCUCUGUGGAUCUCACUCAAGGGUAAUUGGGACCUCGCAUUCUGGGACCAGCUCUGCCUUUGUUCCCCUGGUCGGAUGCACUGACCCGGAUGUGUGAGGUCGCAGUCAUGUUAAUUGGCGCGGGGUGUUGCAGCUGCAUGAUUCGCUGUGUUUUUCCAUGAGUCUGUGUGUGUGGAAAUUGCUCAUCGGAGUGAAUAAAUCUGUUUCCAAAGGACAGCAAAACACUAUUAGAAACAAACACAUGCUGAUUGAACACAUUUAAAUUAUUUAUAAGCAUUUACUUUUUGAUAGUGGCAUCAAUUUUAUCUAUGUUGUGUAAAAGGUAGAGUGUUAGAAGCAGAUCUCUGGACCGUUCGAGGGCUCCCCCACCUGUCCAUCUGUCAUUACUCUCAGUGGAUCCGCAGUCAGCCGGCUCUGUUCCGGACAGGAAUAGAACAGCUGUCCCGGCGGACUCUGACCGGUCCCGCUGCACCUGUUCUGACCUCAGGGACAGUUGUCUCUCCAUUUGUUUUUUUGCUAUGGCAAGGUGUCCUUGGCUCUUAGCUGCCCUGUUAUACAGUAAGAACAUAAUGAUUAUUAUGGCCAGUAUGAGAAAACACAUUACGCAGAUCAUAUGCACAUGCCAUGGCUUUCAACAAGCUAUUCAAAUAUUGACUUUAUUCAACACUAAAUAGCAUUCUUAACCCAUUUUAUUUCCAUAUAAUGUUAUAUAUUUCUAUUUUACAGGAAAUUCUGCAUAGCAUGAAAAUGAAACUAUAUAGCAAUGCCCUGUCAACCACAGACACACCUUUGUAGUGGUGAGUUUUGCACAGGUAAAAAACCCUGGCUGUUAGUUCUUUUUUUAUUAUUAUUAUAAAUUUAGUACAACUUCUUGUUGCAAAACAGGUGAAGCAAUUUAUUUGUCACUACUGGAACUUCACCAGCCAUUUUACAGUUAUAUAUUUUGAACUGUGCAGUUAUACAUUGUAUGAAUAACAUAGAUGUAUGGUAAUGUAUACAGUAAUGUAAAAAUCUU